Molecule: transfer RNA, 73 nt
Filed under: Canis lupus familiaris (dog)
Lineage: Eukaryota; Metazoa; Chordata; Mammalia; Carnivora; Canidae
Also listed under: 2 other names
Rfam family: tRNA
About the family: Transfer RNA (tRNA) molecules are approximately 80 nucleotides in length. Their secondary structure includes four short double-helical elements and three loops (D, anti-codon, and T loops). Further hydrogen bonds mediate the characteristic L-shaped molecular structure. tRNAs have two regions of fundamental functional importance: the anti-codon, which is responsible for specific mRNA codon recognition, and the 3' end, to which the tRNAs corresponding amino acid is attached (by aminoacyl-tRNA synthetases). tRNAs cope with the degeneracy of the genetic code in two manners: having more than one tRNA (with a specific anti-codon) for a particular amino acid; and 'wobble' base-pairing, i.e. permitting non-standard base-pairing at the 3rd anti-codon position.
Source: Rfam by way of RNAcentral
GCCUGGCUGGCUCAGUUGGAGGAGUGUGCAACUCUUGAUCUCAAGGUCGUGAGUUCGAGCCCCAUGCUGGGUG